RNAcentral lists this ribosomal RNA (411 nucleotides) under Sphingobacterium sp. SB25. RNAcentral's name for it is "bacterial SSU rRNA". The stretch from base 12 to 358 matches the Rfam family "Bacterial small subunit ribosomal RNA", at positions 45 to 393 of the family's 1533-position model. Lineage: Bacteria; Pseudomonadati; Bacteroidota; Sphingobacteriia; Sphingobacteriales; Sphingobacteriaceae. The record is from RNAcentral.
CGCUAGCGGCUGGCCUCUACAUGCCCGUCGGACGGGCUCCAUCGGAGAGCUUGCUCGUACAUGGUGAGAGUGGCGCACGGGUGCGUAACGCGUGAGCAACCUACCUCUAUCCCGGGGAUAGCCUCUCGAAAGAGAGAUUAACACCGCAUAACAUCAACAGAGAGGCAUGUUCCGUUGAUUAAAUAUUUAUAGGAUAGAGAUGGGCUCCCGUGACAUUAGCUAGUUGGUAGGGUAACGGCCUACCAUGGCUACCAUCUCUAGGGGCUCUGAGAGGAGAAUCCCCCACACUGGUCCUGAGCCUGGAUCAAACUCUAUACGGGGGGGAAUUUUGAACAAUGUGGGAAACCCGGAUCCAGCCUGAACCAGCCAUGCAUGAAUGCCUUCGACUGCCCUAUGGGUUGUGAACUGCUU